This is a long non-coding RNA of Musa acuminata AAA Group (dessert banana), 514 nucleotides long. RefSeq lists it as uncharacterized. The transcript has 2 exons. The record is from RefSeq and is a predicted model, not a curated record. Lineage: Eukaryota; Viridiplantae; Streptophyta; Magnoliopsida; Zingiberales; Musaceae.
CAUCAACCUAGACACAUCCAUGGCUUAAAUACGCACAAGUUAUCCUUUACAGCAUGGCCACAUGAAGCAGCAUCUGCUCGACCGCUUUGCCGGAGAUUUCGGUGGAAUCACACGGGCCCUUCCGCAUGCCCAUCGAGCGUGAUCAGUGCAGACCAGAAGCUACGUACCAGUACCACUGCUCAACCCCGGAAGAGAAAGACCAGAAGCUGGUUCAUGGACGGGUUACCGACAUAGAUGGUCGCCGACAACGAGAUGGGAUUGGCUCGAGUCGUUGGGCUUCUCUUGUUUCCAUAUGUACGCUUGUUCUGUGACGGUGAAGCGCGUUGAAGACGAGGGAUUUGGGGCGGGACAACUGUGUGGUGGAAGUGCACAAGGCUGCCUGGGAAUGCGAUACUGUUGUCUCGACUCGGGUCAGUCGAUCGAGUUCUUGGUUUGCAUUCGUCCCCCCAAACCGACCCGUUCGGUGAUAGCGAAGUUGUUCGAUAAAAUAAAAUAUUUUGUUCAAUUAUUCUUA